Long non-coding RNA from Cyprinus carpio (common carp), 1009 nucleotides. The record is from Ensembl. Lineage: Eukaryota; Metazoa; Chordata; Actinopteri; Cypriniformes; Cyprinidae.
CACAGACAGGAGAACAGAUGCUGGAACUGUUAGCAUCAGUCUGCAUCAGCUCUUCUAAUUAUGAAUGGACUGACAUAUUUUAUGAUUGGGAUUUCCUGCUGGAUCUGUACUCUCAUGUGAAGAACUGUGAGACUCAAACAGGCAGGAGUUUUCUUCCAGCAUUACAGUCAGUUUUCCAGUCACCUGAUGUCUGGAUCAUAGAUCUCUCAGAGAGAAAGAGCUCGGUCCUCCUGGAAGUGCUGAAGCUCCAGACAGAGAAGAGAACAGUAAAUCUGAGAGGAUGUUCAGAGGAAGAGAGAGACAUGAAGAGUUUCCUUCAGUGUCUGCAACACAUCUCACAGCUGAGGUUCUGGGACAUUGAUGAAAAAGAAGAAAGGAUGUCUGCAGUCAGAUUCCUGCUGAAGCUCUGUGUUAAGAUUCCUGCUGAAGCUCUGUGUUGCUGUUGUAGAAACUGAUGAAGAAACACGAUUCUUGACUCUGCUGUCAUCUGUGUGCAGCUACAAAACCUUCCCUUUUGAUGAUUAUUAUGAUGCUGGUGUUCAGCGUGAUUUCCUGCUGGAUCUGUACUCACAUGUGAAGAACUGUGAGACUCAAACAGGCAGGAGUUUUCUUCCAGCAUUACAGUCAGUUUUCCAGUCACCUGAUGUCUGGAUCAUAGAUCUCUCAGAGAGAAAGAGCUCGGUCCUCCUGGAAGUGCUGAAGCUCCAGACAGAGAAGAGACCAGUAAAUCUGAUUGGAUGUUCAGAGGAAGAGAGAGACGUGAAGAGUUUCCUUCAGUGUCUGCAACACAUCUCACAGCUGAGGUGAGAACAUCUCUGGCAUCUUACAGUUAUUGUGAAAUAUGAUUUCUGUAUUAGCUGGGACAUGUUUUCUGGUCUUAAUGAGUGUCUUUAGGGGCUCUGUUUGUUGAGAUUAGGAAUUUGCACUUUUUGUUUGUGAACAUCUACGCUCCUAAUAUAGGAGAAGACGGAGUACAGUUUUUUAAUAAACUAGAGCACUUUUUAAAACA